Molecule: long non-coding RNA, 1027 nt
Filed under: Oryctolagus cuniculus (rabbit)
Lineage: Eukaryota; Metazoa; Chordata; Mammalia; Lagomorpha; Leporidae
Description: lncRNA (ENSOCUG00000032210.1)
Source: RNAcentral
AGAAUAUUAAAAAUGAAUAAUACACAGGCUAUUUGUAGGUGAUUUAUAGUAAAAACUAAAUUAUGACUCAUUUUCAAGUGUUUAAUUUUAAUAAUAGGGCAUUAAUUUCAUGAAUUUCAACUCCUUGGGAUAAAUCAGCUAUUUGCACACAAAGCAAACAAACAAAAAUGAAUAGAAGCAGGUUUAGUUGUCUCAGUUUAAACAAGUCAAUAAUGAAAAUUGCAUUCAAGACUUAGGAUAGAAGGGUUUAGAUGUAAAGAAGCACUCUGAACAUUUUCUGUUUUUAACUCUUGGCAAAUACAUCUGACCGACCAUAGUCUUACUGGAUGACAUACAUUUGUUUUGUCUACCAUUCUGUCUAGCAACCACGGAAUAAAGAGGAUCCCAGAAAGAAUUACAAUUGCAUAGGCAUUGAUACAGCAGUGCUAAGAGGAAAAGUUAUAACUCAGCCUUAGAUUGCACCCUCAAGAAAUCAUGUUGGAUUUCACAACAGGUGUCAGCAUCACUGCUCUGCUGUGCUCUAAGAGGUAGGUCUCCUGGUCGUACAUGGUCUUUAGUGAUUUGCAGAAAGAAUUUCAACUCACUCCACUGCCAGUUGGUGCCUGUGUAACUUCGUAAAGGUAAGACACAGUUGUAGUUUAUCUUGUUGGCAAGUGACGGGACUUGUUUGUUCUCCAAUAAUCAUGUGGACUUACAUUGAAGGUUACUGCUAGGAACUGGGAACCAAAUGUGUGACUUGUGCGGCCUCAUUCCUGUGCUGAGAAAAUAGACAAGGGGAAAGAACAUACCAAAGCAAGAGUUACACAAAUAUAAAGUUCUAUUGUGAAUUUUAAAAAGGUAACUUAGGACUACAGAGAGACUGGCUGAUCAUUUUGAAACUUCAAGCUGACUAGGGGAAUAAUUUUGCUUUCACCCUGGUGAAAUCUUUGGAAUGGGAAGAUGAUUAUGGUCUUUAAAUGUGGCGAUUACGCACAUUUUCAAUGACAGCUUAAGUGAAACGCACCACAUUCAAUAUAACCUGUGAAAC